AGAGUUUGAUCCUGGCUCAGGACGAACGCUGGCGGCAUGCUUAACACAUGCAAGUCGAGGGGCACUUCGGUGCCACUGGCGCACGGGUGAGUAACACGUAGGUCAUCUGCCCCUAUCACAGACAUAACCCCGGGAAACCGGGGCUAAUAUCUGAUGAGGUCGCGAGAUCAAAGCUUCGGCGGAUAGGGAUGAGCCUGCGGCUGAUUAGCUAGUUGGUGAGGUAAUGGCUCACCAAGGCGACGAUCAGUAGCUGGUCUGAGAGGACGAACAGCCACACUGGAACUGAGACACGGUCCAGACUCCUACGGGAGGCAGCAGUGAGGAAUAUUGGUCAAUGGGCGCAAGCCUGAACCAGCAAUGCCGCGUGUGGGAUGACGGCGCUCUGCGUUGUAAACCACUGUCGGACGGGACGAAAAGAGGCAACAGCCUCCGAGACGGUACCGUCAAAGGAAGGGUCGGCUAACUACGUGCCAGCAGCCGCGGUAAUACGUAGGACCCAAGCAUUGUCCGGAUUCACUGGGUAUAAAGGGUGCGUAGGCGGUCUUGUGCGUCAGAGGUGAAAUAUCCGGGCUCAACCCGGAGGGUGCCUUUGAUACGGCAGGACUUGAGUGCGAGAGAGGAUGAUGGAAUUCCUGGUGUAGCGGUGAAAUGCGUAGAUAUCAGGAGGAACACCGGUGGCGAAGGCGGUCAUCUGGCUCGCAACUGACGCUGAGGCACGAAAGCGUGGGGAUCAAACAGGAUUAGAUACCCUGGUAGUCCACGCCCUAAACGAUGUAUGCUUGGUGUUGGGUCCGCAAGGA
Molecule: ribosomal RNA, 800 nt
Filed under: uncultured bacterium
Lineage: Bacteria
Description: bacterial SSU rRNA
Rfam family: Bacterial small subunit ribosomal RNA
Source: RNAcentral